GACAAAUUUGAUUCUCAUGGAUUUAUCUAAUAAUCAGCUUCAAGGCAUGAUCCCUUGGAGUCUUGGGAAUUGCAAAAAGUUUACAGGAUUAGUUCUUUCAAAUAACAAUCUUAGUGGUCCCAUACCUCCACAAAUUUUUGGAUCCUCCCCCUUAUCACUGGGUCUUUUCUUAUCCGGAAAUCACUUGUCAGGCUCCAUUCCCAUAGAAGUAGGAAAUUCGAAAACUAUGGGAUACCUAAACCUUUCCGAGAACAUGUUAUCAGGAGUGAUUCCCAGUGGUCUUAGCAGUUGUACGAGUCUAGAAUUAUUGGACUUGGGUGCCAACUUGUUUCGAGGCUCUGUUCCUUCAACUCUAAGUUCACUAAGA
Molecule: unclassified non-coding RNA, 367 nt
Filed under: Hevea brasiliensis (rubber tree)
Lineage: Eukaryota; Viridiplantae; Streptophyta; Magnoliopsida; Malpighiales; Euphorbiaceae
Source: RNAcentral